GGGGCUAAUGCCGGGUAAUACUUUUCUUCGCAUGAAGGAAAGUUGAAAGAUGGCUUCUUGCUAUCACUUACAGAUGGGCCCGCGGCGCAUUAGCUAGUUGGUGAGGUAACGGCUCACCAAGGCGACGAUGCGUAGCCGACCUGAGAGGGUGAUCGGCCACACUGGGACUGAGACACGGCCCAGACUCCUACGGGAGGCAGCAGUAGGGAAUCUUCCGCAAUGGACGAAAGUCUGACGGAGCAACGCCGCGUGAACGAUGAAGGUCUUCGGAUCGUAAAGUUCUGUUGUUAGGGAAGAACAAGUACCGUGCGAAUAGAGCGGUACCUUGACGGUACCUAACGAGGAAGCCCCGGCUAACUACGUGCCAGCAGCCGCGGUAAUACGUAGGGGGCAAGCGUUGUCCGGAAUUAUUGGGCGUAAAGCGCGCGCAGGCGGUUCCUUAAGUCUGAUGUGAAAGCCCACGGCUCAACCGUGGAGGGUCAUUGGAAACUGGGGAACUUGAGGACAGAAGAGGAGAGUGGAAUUCCACGUGUAGCGGU
This 539-nucleotide ribosomal RNA is filed under the name Halobacillus sp. SCULCB HBCM-8. Its description in RNAcentral is "bacterial SSU rRNA". It matches the Rfam family "Bacterial small subunit ribosomal RNA", at positions 159 to 682 of the family's 1533-position model. The record is from RNAcentral. Lineage: Bacteria; Bacillati; Bacillota; Bacilli; Caryophanales; Bacillaceae.